GCAAGAGGUGCGUAUUGUAACUCUAUGUCUAACUCCUGUUGAAGUUAAUCUAGGGAAUACCGUUUUCAGUAGAAUGCUGAUUAUUUCAUUUAUUAUCUUCACAGCUACUUUAAAGGAAGCAAAACAAAGGUUUUUAAGGCCAAUUAGCCAGAAAAAAAUGGAUGAACACCUCCUGGAACCUCUGAAGGACCUGCAUUUACUGUUCUGGACUUAAAUUCUGAGUUCCUCAGAAGAAAGAGCUGACUGUUAUUUGCUGAAGAAGAAGAGAAUGAAUCUGCUACAAAAGCUAAAAUGAACAAGAGAAGAUCUAGGGCCCUUUUUUUUUUUUUUUGCUCCAUGUAGAAACUUAGACUUGCAUGGAGCUCCACAGAAGAUGGGGGAUGAGUCUUUGAUUAAAACAAAAAUAUUUAAUGCUAAGCUAGCACAAAUAUUAAUUGAGUAGAAGAUAAGUUGUAUUUUGGCUUUGCCUCUUCUGUAGUAAAUAUAUUCUUUUCUUAAGUUAUUUUCCAUGGAUAAUCCCCAAGAGACACUUCUGAAGUGAUAUGAAGAAAAAUAGAGCAGGUCUGAGCUUUCAUCUCCCUUUGUGGGAAUUUCCAAGCUGUACUCAUGAGAGAUAUGGACAAACUGGCAGGGCAGAAAUA
RNAcentral lists this long non-coding RNA (641 nucleotides) under Struthio camelus australis. Its description in RNAcentral is "lncRNA (ENSSCUG00000004302.1)". Lineage: Eukaryota; Metazoa; Chordata; Aves; Struthioniformes; Struthionidae. The record is from RNAcentral.